GUGGACGCCAGUCUGCGUGGAGCCGACCUUGAAAUACCACCCUUUAAUGUUUGAUGUUCUAACGUGGACCCGUAAUCCGGGUUGCGGACAGUGUCUGGUGGGUAGUUUGACUGGGGCGGUCUCCUCCUAAAGAGUAACGGAGGAGCACGAAGGUUGGCUAAUCCUGGUCGGACAUCAGGAGGUUAGUGCAAUGGCAUAAGCCAGCUUGACUGCGAGCGUGACGGCGCGAGCAGGUGCGAAAGCAGGUCAUAGUGAUCCGGUGGUUCUGAAUGGAAGGGCCAUCGCUCAACGGAUAAAAGGUACUCCGGGGAUAACAGGCUGAUACCGCCCAAGAGUUCAUAUCGACGGCGGUGUUUGGCACCUCGAUGUCGGCUCAUCACAUCCUGGGGCUGAAGUAGGUCCCAAGGGUAUGGCUGUUCGCCAUUUAAAGUGGUACGCGAGCUGGGUUUAGAACGUCGUGAGACAGUUCGGUCCCUAUCUGCCGUGGGCGCUGGAGAACUGAGGGGGGCUGCUCCUAGUACGAGAGGACCGGAGUGGACGCAUCACUGGUGUUCGGGUUGUCAUGCCAAUGGCACUGCCCGGUAGCUAAAUGCGGAAGAGAUAAGUGCUGAAAGCAUCUAAGCACGAAACUUGCCCCGAGAUGAGUUCUCCCUGAGACUUUAAGUCUCCUGAAGGAACGUUGAAGACGACGACGUUGAUAGGCCGGGUGUGUAAGCGCAG
Molecule: ribosomal RNA, 720 nt
Filed under: Salmonella enterica subsp. enterica serovar Infantis
Lineage: Bacteria; Pseudomonadati; Pseudomonadota; Gammaproteobacteria; Enterobacterales; Enterobacteriaceae
Description: partial 23S ribosomal RNA
Rfam family: Bacterial large subunit ribosomal RNA
Source: RNAcentral